GAAGAGACUGCCUUGUCUCAGAUGAGACUUUGGGCUUUGGACAUUUGAGUAAAUGCUGGAAUGAGUUAAGACCUUGUGGGAUUGUAGGUAUGGCCUGGUGGGAGGUGAUUUAUUCCUGUACUUGAGAGGGGUGGAGUUGGAAGUAAACAGAAGUGGGUAAGGUCAGAGGAGUAGGUUGGCUGUAGGGUGGUGUGAGGGUGGUGGGUAGUAGGAAGUGGGAGUAGCCUGCUACAGAGGCAGAGGCUCAUGGAAAACCUCUACUAGGGCAGUGCACCUGUGGCUUUGCAGGCUUUAGCCCCCAUGGCUGCUCUCAUGGACUGGGCUGGUGUUGAGUGCCUGUAGCUUUUCCAUACUGAGGGUGGGAGCUUUAGGUGGGUCUAUGACUCUAGGGUCUGGAGGAUGGUGGUAUCCUGCGUGGGGGCUCCAAACCCAUAUUUUCCUUCUGCACUGCCCUAGUAGAGAUUUUCCAAGAGGCUCUGCCUCUGCCUCAGACUUCUGCUUGGAAACACUGGGGGGUGGAUGUGGGGUAUUGGGUGGAUCCUUCACCAAUAGUUAAGCACCAUCUUCUUGAUGCUGAUCUCCUGAUACUGAGUUCUCUCGAGAUCUGGUUGUAUAACAGGAUGUGGCAUCUUUCCUCUGUCUUGCUUCUACUCCUGGAAUAUGAAACAUUUCAUUGCUGCUUGGCCUUCUGGUAUAAAUGGGAGGCUUCCUGAGUCCUCCUAAAAGCAGAAACCACUAUGCUUUCAUUACAGCCUCCAGAACUGUGAGUCAAUUCAACCUCUUUUCUUUAUGUACAUGCAGAAAAUCAAUGCUGUGAAGUGAAGCUAUGAAAUGCCUUCAAGGCCUUUUCCCCAAUCUUUUGGCUGUUAGCACUGGGCUUCUUUGAUGCUAAUAUCUGAAGCCUUCUUGAAGUUUUCC
RNAcentral lists this long non-coding RNA (918 nucleotides) under Homo sapiens (human). RNAcentral describes it as "non-protein coding lnc-ANKRD18B-1:1". Lineage: Eukaryota; Metazoa; Chordata; Mammalia; Primates; Hominidae. The record is from RNAcentral.